RNAcentral lists this ribosomal RNA (429 nucleotides) under bacterium. RNAcentral's name for it is "partial 16S ribosomal RNA". It matches the Rfam family "Bacterial small subunit ribosomal RNA", at positions 355 to 776 of the family's 1533-position model. The record is from RNAcentral.
UAGGGAAUCUUCGGCAAUGGGGGCAACCCUGACCGAGCAACGCCGCGUGAGUGAAGAAGGUUUUCGGAUCGUAAAGCUCUGUUGUAAGAGAGGAACGUGUGUGAGAGUGGAAAGUUCACACAGUGACGGUAACUUACCAGAAAGGGACGGCUAACUACGUGCCAGCAGCCGCGGUAAUACGUAGGUCCCGAGCGUUGUCCGGAUUUAUUGGGCGUAAAGCGAGCGCAGGCGGUUUAAUAAGUCUGAAGUUAAAGGCAGUGGCUUAACCAUUGUUCGCUUUGGAAACUGUUAAACUUGAGUGCAGAAGGGGAGAGUGGAAUUCCAUGUGUAGCGGUGAAAUGCGUAGAUAUAUGGAGGAACACCGGUGGCGAAAGCGGCUCUCUGGUCUGUAACUGACGCUGAGGCUCGAAAGCGUGGGGAGCAAACAGG